This 245-nucleotide long non-coding RNA is filed under the name Capsicum annuum. Its description in RNAcentral is "long non-coding RNA (CANN_LNC004636)". Lineage: Eukaryota; Viridiplantae; Streptophyta; Magnoliopsida; Solanales; Solanaceae. The record is from RNAcentral.
UCAUUAUCCAUUGUCUAACAUCUUCCAUAUCUGCUUGUCGUAGUUCUUUUGAAUUUGAAUAAAUCAUCUGAUGGUCUGUUGAAUAAUAGCUCCAUAUUGGGUUUCCAUUGGUAUAAUUAUUUGCUAAUUCUUGAAUAAUUAUAGCUAGUCCAAUGAGUCGUUUAUUUGCAUAGAAAUCAGGUAUCUCAAUUCUGGGUAUCUCUGGCUGCUGCACAAUAUCUUCCGGUAUAAUCAUAUGUCUGGUU